Neogale vison (American mink) is the source of this 2692-nucleotide long non-coding RNA. RefSeq lists it as uncharacterized. The record is from RefSeq and is a predicted model, not a curated record. The transcript has 2 exons. NCBI's taxonomy places the organism in Eukaryota, Metazoa, Chordata, Mammalia, Carnivora, Mustelidae.
UCUUGGUCUUAAGUCCCUGAGAUGAAAUCAAGAGUCCCAUAUUUAACUGACUGAGCCACCCAAGCCCUUUUAAACGUGGGGCUCUGCAUCUUCCACCUGCACUGGGCCUCACAGAUUAAGUAGCCAUUCAUGUCACACCACCUCGAUAACCAGUGUAGUGUCGGCACACAGCCCUGUUCCUCCAGCGCCUGAGUGCACCAUAAAUACUGGUGAGGGAUGGAAAAAAGGAAUGACUCCCUGGAUGUCCUUCCACUUUUUCACCUGGUAACAUCAUACAUUCCUCAGCAAUCCAUUUAGAUGCUGCCUCUUCCAGGAAGCCUUCCUGGAUAACUCCCACCCCAAUAAAUCUGGAUGAAGCUCCUCAUCUGAGCUUCCACAGUACCCCUUUUCCUCUCCAUCUCGCGCUUGGACUAUUUUUGUAUCUGCCCUGCUUAUCAUCUGGCGAGAACCUCAAUCACAGAGACGCAGUUGUCAGAGCUCCCAGAUUGGGGCCUUCCUGGGUGAGUGAAUAAGGAUUGAAGGAAAGUGGUUCUUUUUUAAAAUUUUUAUUUAUUUAUUUAUUUGACCUUCCCAAGGCAGAGGCUUAACCCACUGAGCCACCCAGGCGUCCCUAAGGAAAGUGGUUCUUAACCUUACUUCCCAGGCCUGAGGGCAAAAAUUCUUUUGGCAGCAGAUCUGGCCCUUAUCCUACCAAAGCUCCUGGGCUCCUUUGUAGCACCGCUAUAAUUAUUACUCAAAAUAAUAAUUAACGUUUUCUCUUUUGUACGGUGCUUUAAAGUAGGGAGAUCCUCCAGGGUGGGGAGGGGAUUUGGUUCAUGCCUGGUGUCCAGCCCCUGGCACCCGGAGGCUCAGGUGAUGUUUAUUGGAUAAACGGGUGAUGGAUGAGUGAGUACGGAGCCAGCCAGCCAGUCUGCACCCCAGCUCCUGGGGGCUGGAUUGUGAGUGUGAGUCACCUUCGCCAGGCCCCAGGAAACCCUCAGGAAUGAACAGUUAAAUUAUGAAUGAAUUGCUUAAUGAGGGGCACACACUGCCUAUUAUGUUAUUCUGCCCUACGCUCUCUCUCUGGAGCUGCAGAGCAGAUCAAAGCAUUAGCCCAUUUUACAGCUGGGACAAUCGAGGUUGCCCUAGAAGACAGACAGAGAGGCACAACCAGCAGCGGGUGCGGCAAGCCCACUCUUCCCGCCCUGUGGCCCUUGCAUGGCCCAGGUGGCAGGUCUUCCACUGGCCGGGAGAGCCUGGACAGGCAGAUGGUGAGCAGGCCACCAGGCCAAGGGAGCCAAGCAGACCUCACCUGCCAACCCAGAGAAUUCCCUGGGAAGUUCUGCCCAGCUCUGUUUCCACACAUCUGCCCAGAGCAAACGCAGCCUCGGAGGCCACAGCUGUGGGCAGUUCUCUCAGCUUUCAUCCCCCGUGUCUUGUCUCAGGAGGCUAGAGGGUUCUGGGGAUGAAGUCAGUGAGAUGCGCUGGGCGAAGAGUUGGAACCAGAACACCUGCUGUCAAAGUCAGGCUGAUUGAAGGUUCUGGAGGACUGGUCCCAGGGCACCUCAGGAGGGCUGGAAGGUGAGUGCAGCACAGGGUGGCCAGGGGCUGAGGAAGCAUGAUAAAGGAAGAGGGUCACUCAUGCGCUGGGGCUGUUUGUGAUUUCUGCAGUUGUGGUGUGUGAGUCCACGGGCGCCGUCCCAGGCCUCGGGGCUUCAACAGCACAGUUCUUCUCUCCCAGUUUGGCCAGAAACCCAAGAUCAGGUGUCAGCAAAGUUGGUUUCGCACAAGCACUAACCACUCUUAGCAAGAAGGCCAAUUCUCUGGUAUGGGAUCCAUAUAUAAUGAUCAAUUUUCUUUCUUUCUUUUUUUUUUUUUUUAAAUAAUUUUUAGUUUCAUUUUUCAAGAAAGAAUUCCAACCAAGCUUGAAAAUAACACUCUUGGGACCCCUGGGUGGCUCCGUCGGUUGGGCAUGUGCCAUCAGCUCAUGUCAGGAUCCCACGGUUCUGGGACUGAGUCCCGCAUGGGACUCCUUGCUCAGCGGGGAGCCUGCUUCCCCCUCUGCUGGCCGCGCCCCCUGCUGUGUGCACGAUCACUUUCUCUGACAAGUUGCUGUGUGAUGUGGCCUUUCCCCAGUGCCCCUUGCCCGGGGAUCCUGAGGACCUCGUGUGCCGUUUUGUGCCAUGCUACAGACGCCUGCCGAGGUUUGACGUCUCUCCUCCACGCUGGACAUCCUCAAGGAGGAGGGCCCAGGACUAGGGCGGGGGCAUCCUGAGUCGGGGGCAGUGCCCCUCGAGUUCUCUGAGACUGGAUCCCGCCCUCCUCUGGCCCCAGAAGUGGGACCAGCCACUGGAGAAAAAUCUGAUGUCCUGCGAUAACACCAGGAAAAACUGCCCGCGGUAAAUACACUGUCGUUGAAAACACAAGUCCUGCAGCAACAGGGAGUGUUUCUCAGAACCUUACAACCGCUUGGCAUUUAUGAUGAGCUUUUAUGGCUCUGAGAACAAUUUGCUGCCGGAAGAGGAAAGUGAGCAGGCUCUACAGUUUGUUCACACCAACAACCGCUCACCCCUUCUUGUUAAUGUACUCUUCCAGCAGGUUUUACUUGAAAUGGAUGAAAUAUGAGGAAGGGAGUCAGAAUAUGUGUUUCUUAUUAAACAAUAAAGUCAUUGCAUAUAUUUAAAUCAAGUUCAUUAAAAGGUUUUUGGCUUUA